Molecule: ribosomal RNA, 429 nt
Filed under: uncultured bacterium
Lineage: Bacteria
Description: bacterial SSU rRNA
Rfam family: Bacterial small subunit ribosomal RNA
Source: RNAcentral
AUUGAACGCUGGCGGCAUGCCUUACACAUGCAAGUCGAACGGCAGCACGGGAGCAAUCCUGGUGGCGAGUGGCGAACGGGUGAGUAAUAUAUCGGAACGUGCCCAGUCGUGGGGGAUAACGUAGCGAAAGCUACGCUAAUACCGCAUACGAUCUAUGGAUGAAAGCGGGGGAUCGCAAGACCUCGCGCGAUUGGAGCGGCCGAUAUCAGAUUAGGUAGUUGGUGAGGUAAAGGCUCACCAAGCCGACGAUCUGUAGCUGGUCUGAGAGGACGACCAGCCACACUGGGACUGAGACACGGCCCAGACUCCUACGGGAGGCAGCAUGGGGAAUUUUGGACAAUGGCGCAAGCCUGAUCCAGCAAUGCCGCGUGCGGGAAGAAGGCCUUUGGGUUGUAAACCGCUUUCAGCAGGACGAAACUGACGGUACCU